This 497-nucleotide ribosomal RNA is filed under the name uncultured bacterium. Its description in RNAcentral is "partial 16S ribosomal RNA". It matches the Rfam family "Bacterial small subunit ribosomal RNA", at positions 28 to 507 of the family's 1533-position model. The record is from RNAcentral.
GAUGAACGCUGGCGGCGUGCCUAAUACAUGCAAGUCGAGCGAACAGACGAGGAGCUUGCUCCUCUGACGUUAGCGGCGGACGGGUGAGUAACACGUGGAUAACCUACCUAUAAGACUGGGAUAACUUCGGGAAACCGUAGCUAAUACCGGAUAAUAUAUUGAACCGCAUGGUUCACUAGUGAAAGACGGUUUUGCUGUCACUUAUAGAUGGAUCCGCGCCGCAUUAGCUAGUUGGUAAGGUAACGGCUUACCAAGGCAACGAUGCGUAGCCGACCUGAGAGGGUGAUCGGCCACACUGGAACUGAGACACGGUCCAGACUCCUACGGGAGGCAGCAGUAGGGAAUCUUCCGCAAUGGGCGAAAGCCUGACGGAGCAACGCCGCGUGAGUGAUGAAGGUCUUCGGAUCGUAAAACUCUGUUAUUAGGGAAGAACAAAUGUGUAAGUAACUAUGCACGUCUUGACGGUACCUAAUCAGAAAGCCACGGCUAACUACGUG